Non-coding RNA from Manis javanica (Malayan pangolin), 2958 nucleotides. NCBI's taxonomy places the organism in Eukaryota, Metazoa, Chordata, Mammalia, Pholidota, Manidae. The record is from RefSeq and is a predicted model, not a curated record.
CUCCGGGAAGGGUUCCUGGGGCCCAGCCAUGGACUGGGCGUGCAGCCCUGCAUAGCAGGCCCCCUCCUGGAGCUCCUGUCCACCCUGCCAACUGGGGCUGACUUGGUGGUCUGGGGUGUGACAGACUGGAGAAAGAACACGGCCCCCUGACCUUGGAAGCUGUCUGAGAGAGAUUUCAAGGUAUAAAGCGGAAAAGAAAAUGAAUGAAAACAUCACAAAGCUGCCCGUCCAUCACAUGCUGACAGUGUGGCCGCUGACCGACUGCAGGGCUGGGGAGAUGCAGGGAGGACUUGAGUCAGCGGGAUGGGGCCCCAGUGCGGCUCCAUGAGUCGGCGAUAUGCACAUGGGCAUGCAGGACACUCCUCGGCAGCGAGUGGUAAAGCAGAGCAUCAUUGUUUGGCUCUCUUUGGGGCUUGAGGACAGAAGACAAAGCUCAGAGCGUGGCCAUGCUGGGGGGCUAACAGAAGACCACCUCCAUGAAUCCUGGGCUCCCACAGGCUCCCUUCAAGUGGACUGUGCGAGGCUGGAGGCAGAACCCACGUAUGGCUGGCUCCCGGUGAAUCCUUGGGGUUGGGAAAGCUGCUUGGCACUCAGUGACCACUCAGGAAGGAGGUGGUGUUCAAGCUGGCCCCUUGCUUCCUGCUAGGCCAGGCCAGCCUCAGGGGAAGACAGAAAGCCCCAGAGAAGAGCAGGUGUCCUGACGCUGAGGCGGGGACGUCCCCAAGCCCUGUAACAUGCACACUGCAAUCCGGAGGCCAGCACACGUCUGCCUCUGAGGUCCUGUUCACAUGUUCAGGUGACCUCGAACCCUCCCUCUCUGAGGGAGGUGGGAGAAGAGCCCAAGCAGCCUCCCCCUUCCUCCACGCUCAGACCUUGAACACACCAGGCACACCCCUCUCUCUCCUGUCCUGGAACACGUGCCAGUGGCACAGGUGAGGAGAGUUGUCUGUCGGCCCCUCCUCUCCACGGGGGCAGAGUGGUGGUUGCUCUGACGGGAAGGUUGCCAGAGGUUGCGGGGAGGUUCAGGGACCGAGGGCCAUCGGACUCAGGACCGUGGAAUCUGAACUGUCACAGACGAGGCGCCUGGCGGCUUACAUGGUUCAGUCUGCUUUGCUUUUCUGGUUUCAGUCUCAAACCUGCCUCUUCCAGACAGCCUUCCUUGCUUGCUUCCUUGAUCCAUCAUUCGUCAUCCAUCAGAUACGCUUGAUUUGAAGCAUACUGUUUCUUUGGCAAAUGGGGGUGUUCGGUGCUGUGACCGGGGUGAAUGCCCCCUGACAGUAAGGGCCCUCUAGAACACUCCAGAGUCUACCUUGCUUGCCUAUGACCACUGAUAAUGAAAAUAAUAAAGAUGCCAUUUUUUAGAUGUCAUUUAAAAAAUACCAUGCUGAGCGCUUUGUAUUCGCUUAUCUCAUGCAAUCCUGGCAGUGCCCACAGGAAGUGGGCACCAUCACAUAUGGCAAACUGAGGCUGAGAGAACAGAACACAGGGAGCUUGCGGCGGCCGCAGAGGGCCAGCUGCGGCUCAGGCGUUUCCUCUCCUGGGCCCCUGAUGCCUCCCCCACCCUGGCCGCUGGCCUCCUCUGCCUUGUUCACUUCCUCAGGACCUUUCUGGUUCAGCCAGCCUCCGACUCGAUUGGCCCUAACAGGCCGGACUGGGGCAGUGGAUGAGGCUGCCAUUCCAUCAAAGAUGCUCUUACCGGAGAUGAGAACAGAGACAGGAAAUUUCAGUAGCAGAUAUAACAGAGGCCACGCACAGAGACAGCCCGGGCGAAAACUCUUCAUGCACAAACAGAGGAUGUCUUGCCAGGGGCCGUGCCAGCCUCACCCCAGCUCCAAGGAGGGGGAGGGGCAUCUGCAAUAGACUGUUUUGUCUGCAUUUCUGAUGUUUAUAAUACUUCUCCGUUUGGGCCACUGGAGGUACCAGCUGGGUUCCAAGGGCAUGUGCGCGGGGAGGGAGUGUGGCACGGGCCGGCGUUGGCUGCCUCUGCCUCUCGCUCUGCGGGGCCUGUAAGCCAGGCCAUGGCUGGGAAGGCUGCAGUGGGGCCUGUGUCUGCCCCACCCCCGGUUCAGAAAGGGUCCGGUAUGGGGGGGAACACACCACCCCCACCCCCACGCCCUGUGUACUGGGCGCUGCAGCCCCUCUACCUGUGUCUUGGUUUAACCCAGGACCCCCAGACCCACAUGUCCAGGGAGCCGGGCCAUUCCUCUUGUUUCCUGCAGAUGUGCAGACCCCUGCAGUAGCUGUUAACCAUCGGGGUAGGCUUGCCUGGCAAAACCCAGGGCACCGAGUCAAAUUGGAAUUUCAGAUCAACAGUGAAUCAUUUUUUGGUGUAGGGCACCUGCAGUCUUCAGGGUGAAGUCUGAGCUCUUGGAGACCGCCAGUCCACCCACGGCGCAGCCCUGCUCGCCCCAGAGCGCACCCCCAUCUCCAGCACAUGCUCAGAUCCUGCCUUUCUUCCUCCUGCCUACUCCCUGCAAGAACGGACUCCCUCCUUUGUUCUGGUCGAUGCCUGGCUCACUCCAGCUGCUGCUGCCUAAACAGCACGUCUGUGGGGAGUCUUCCCUCGUGCCCUGGGCCCCUGGGCAGGCUGAGGUGCUCCUAAGCUGGGCCCAAGUCUGGCCCAGUGUUCAACAAACACUGGCUGAAUGAAUGACUUUGUUAAAGAAUGAAUGAAAGUCCAGGGCGGUGGGACCGCUGCACAUUUCAGUCUGGCACGUGGGAGCCCAGCUCCCUCUCCAAACGGGGAAACCAGAUCCCGCUGUGUGUGCAGAUUUGGGUAAGAGGCAGGCAACCCACCAUGGGCCCCCCAGAGUCCCUGAGGAUCCCGUCCACCUCUCCGCCCCUUGGAGGUGCCUGCUCGGACCCAGUCCCCUGGCCCCCAGCCCCCAGCCUUAGCUCCCAGUAGGAGGAGAAAAUGUGUGGUGAGGAAAUGUGAUUAGAUGUCAGGUGCUAGGAGAG